AAUAUUGCACAAUGGGGGAAACCCUGAUGCAGCAACGCCGCGUGAAGGAAGACGGUUUUCGGAUUGUAAACUUCUGUUCUUAGUGAAGAUAGUGACGGUAGCUAAGGAGCAAGCCACGGCUAACUACGUGCCAGCCGCCGCGGUAAUACGUAGGUGGCAAGCGUUGUCCGGAAUUACUGGGUGUAAAGGGAGCGCAGGCGGGAAGCCAAGUCAGCUGUGAAAACUACAGGCUUAACUUGUAGACUGCAGUUGAAACUGGUUUUCUUGAGUGAAGUAGAGGUUGGCGGAAUUCCGAGUGUAGCGGUGAAAUGCGUAGAUAUUCGGAGGAACACCGGUGGCGAAGGCGGCCAACUGGGCUUUAACUGACGCUGAGGCUCGAAAGUGUGGGGAGCAAACAG
This 398-nucleotide ribosomal RNA is filed under the name uncultured bacterium. Its description in RNAcentral is "bacterial SSU rRNA". It matches the Rfam family "Bacterial small subunit ribosomal RNA", at positions 360 to 775 of the family's 1533-position model. The record is from RNAcentral.